Molecule: non-coding RNA, 24 nt
Filed under: Arabidopsis thaliana (thale cress)
Lineage: Eukaryota; Viridiplantae; Streptophyta; Magnoliopsida; Brassicales; Brassicaceae
Source: RNAcentral
UGCAUUGGCAAGGUUGUUGAGUGU